This 90-nucleotide transfer RNA is filed under the name Alphaproteobacteria bacterium. RNAcentral's name for it is "tRNA-Ser". It matches the Rfam family "tRNA". From Rfam's summary of the family: Transfer RNA (tRNA) molecules are approximately 80 nucleotides in length. Their secondary structure includes four short double-helical elements and three loops (D, anti-codon, and T loops). RNAcentral also lists the same sequence under 1 other name. The record is from RNAcentral. Lineage: Bacteria; Pseudomonadati; Pseudomonadota; Alphaproteobacteria.
GGAGAGGUGCCGGAGUGGUCGAACGGGGCGGUCUCGAAAACCGUUGUGGGCGAAAGCCCACCCAGGGUUCGAAUCCCUGUCUCUCCGCCA